Molecule: ribosomal RNA, 302 nt
Filed under: uncultured bacterium
Lineage: Bacteria
Description: partial 16S ribosomal RNA
Rfam family: Bacterial small subunit ribosomal RNA
Source: RNAcentral
GCAGUCGCCGCGGGAAUACGGAGGGUGCAAGCGUUAAUCGGAAUUACUGGGCGUAAAGCGCACGCAGGCGGUCUGUCAAGUCAGAUGUGAAAUCCCCGGGCUUAACCUGGGAACUGCAUUUGAAACUGGCAGGCUAGAGUCUUGUAGAGGGGGGUAGAAUUCCAGGUGUAGCGGUGAAAUGCGUAGAGAUCUGGAGGAAUACCGGUGGCGAAGGCGGCCCCCUGGACAAAGACUGACGCUCAGGUGCGAAAGCGUGGGGAGCAAACAGGAUUAGAUACCCGGGUAGUCCCUGUCUCUUAUAC